AUGAAAAUUUCCGAAAAUAGAAUGAUAUUUGAGAGGCUGCAAGCUUAUUUUUACUUAUAAUUAUAUAUAUGCUGUAUUAUUAAGCAUGCAUCGAUUCAAUUAUGUAAUUUGGGUUUCACUUCUUAUUGUUUUAGGUUUGUCACUAUUUAUUUAUAUGCAUUUGGCGACAUUUGAUCAUCCAUUAUACCAAUGAGAUUUUAACAGUCAAAUAUAAUAUUAACCAAUAAUCAAAGUGCAUAUACACACAGCAAUGACUAAUUGCACAUGUUUCGUUUAUUCUGGAACUUAUUUUUCUGAAACACAAUUUCAAAGUUGAAAAUUCUAGGUGGCGACAGUAACGUAUGUUACAUUUUAGGGCAUUAAUGGUACUUGUAAAAGAAAAAUAACAGAUAGAAAUGUAAAACUGAGAGUGUCCCUAUUAGACAAAGUGGCAGCCACCUUUCUAACGACAUUUUGACCUCAAGAAAAACCUUCGUAUAAGAGCUACCCAGUGGAACAUCAAAUGCUGUGUCUUAUUGAGAAUGAGCGAAUAUGUAGGACCCCAGUAACAUUUUGGCCAAUAUUUCAAUAAAUAAAUGAAAAGUAAAGAAAAUGUAUAACAUUGAAAACAUGGUGAAAUCAUGCUAGACAGCCUACCUAACUUUGUUCUGUCCUACAAGUUUGUACCAGUCCGUAGACAGGUUUUUAUUUCAUCAGUACUAGUAGGGUGACCUACUAGUAGGCCUACUCUUAUUUUCUAUAACACAUGCAUCAAAAAUCGUCUGUACUGUAUAGUUUUGAAGAAAACAAAACAAAUACAACAACAGCAUAGUGUUGAGUAGCUUAGUCAAUGCGGUAAACAAUGCGUUUCAUAAUUAUAAUGGAACUUUAUUUACAACGAACAAUUUAUAUCAUUUUACAUUGCGAUAUAAUAAUGAUGGAAUAAAAUAACAACAAAAAACUUACCAAUAAAACAGCAGCUUAUGUCAUUCAUCGUGUGUUAGGUCAUGUGUACACAGCGCCUCACCAGUCCGUGUAAUGAUUUACUGAUGUUAAAUUGUAGAGUCGACUGUUCCAUUGUAAUACACGGGUACAUCGGGUCUCAUGCCGAUGGUUUAAAUUUGCAAAUUUUAUUCUCUUUUUUCUUAAAAUACAGUUUGAUAAAAAGAUGAUUUGCAAAAAGUGUCUUUCAAUUUUAAAUUUUCUCACCGGAGAUGAUAAGGAAAUCUUAUUGCAGUUCAAGGCCGCCUUAAGGUAACACCCCUUAUAUCAAAAGCAGAAUGAAUUGGGCCAGUUUCAAUUAACGCGUCGCGCGCCGUUUUUGUUCUGCUAAUUAUAGCACAGUGACACAGGCAUGCAAACUUCCAGGUUAAUAUUUCGCCAUAAACUGACAUUUGGAGAAGAAUUAUGAGGACAUGUUCAACAACAUCCAAGCUGAAGAAGUAGAGGACCUUUAAUUGAUUUGGAGACCAAGGCAGAGCUGAGAGCGCAGCACUAAAAGAGCCUGGGGAAAGGCCUGCCUUAUUUCGUGGUGGAAGCUUACAUGAAAAAGGAAGACAUGGCAGUGUUACAUGAAUGAUUAUAUAAUGACAAUACCAAUUAAAAGAUACAGAAAAAGUUUGAGGGUUAGCGUGUUUCAUGUGUUCAACUGAUUUAACUCAAGUCAACAUCUGUACUGUAAUGAAGCUUUAGAAUUUAGCCUUUCUAAAGAAUAUUUAGGAUCUUAAGUGGAUGGACUUGUAAACGCAUUUCCAGUAACAUUUUGAUGUAUUCAUUAUAUAUAGCUGUGUAUGUGUUCUAGAAACAUAUUAUUUCUACCAGCCAAUGAAAGAGAGCCAUGUCUGUGUGAAAAUCUAAGCUAACUGAAAUGUGUGAGCAACUCAAUAAUUUACUAGUUCAUGAAACAUGCCAUGAAAAGAAAACAAAUCUAGAAAGGGAGUCAGAUAUCAAAAUAGCAAUGAAAGAACAGAAAUAUCUAAAACUUGCAGAAUCCGCUUGAUUUAGUCUGUUUGUGAGAGAAAAUGUUAAAGUGCAAUAUCAACUAAAUUUGCUGGAAUUAUCCCAAACGGCAAUUAUGAAGCCUUGCUAGGAUUCAUAUUACAGAUAAAGUUUGCUGGACAGAAAUCAUGAUACAGAAGUGGCUUAGAUAUAUGAGAAAAAUAUACUUGAAAAAUGGAAUAGCUUUAUUUAAGAAAUAAUUUAAUACGCAAAUACCAUCUUGUGAAUUUGGUUUUCAUAAAAUAAUGAGGUUUUAUCUAUAUUUAUCAUGUUUAUGCAUACAAGGAAUAUGUACCACAUUAUUAAUAUAAUCACACGCUCAAUAUUUUUUAUGCAUGCCCCAGGGCAUAUAGUAAUUGAACUGUCCGUCUUUCUGUCUGUAUAAGGAUAACCUAAAACAGCAAGUUUUUUCUUGAGUUCUACCUGCACCAAUGGCUUCAUAAUUCACACAUUCACUAAUCAGUUCAAAGAAUACAAUCUCCAGGGGCAAGUUACAUAACUAUGGCUCCCAUUUUUACCAAGUUAUUGCCCUUUUGAGCACUUUGAAAAUGAAAUGAUUAACCAAAACCGUCAAAUUGUAUAUAUCUUAAGUUCAGUUUAUACUAAUGGCUUCAUAAUUUUCACAGGUACUUCUCAGUACAAAGUGCAUUGAUAUUGCUAAGUAAUAUUACUGUGCCAUCAAUUUUUCACAGUUAUUUCCCUUUUUAUCACUUUGAAAAUAGAGCAUAAUAAUAGUGUAUGGUUAACCUUUUCAGGCAAGUUGGAUAUAUCUUAAAUUUCUCCUUAAUACUUCUUUUACAUUGUGAUACAUUGAGGGAUUUUGAAAUAACCUGGCACAAAUGUGUACCACAUCAAGAGGAUGUGUCGCAUUCAUGAACCACGUCCCUUUUCAAAGGUCAAGUUCACACUUUUAUUUUGAAGGUUCACACUAUCACAACUAGAGAUAGGUACACACAUUCGUGUCCGGAAUAUACCUUGUAACUUUGUCAUGCAUCGAAGGAUUUUAAAAUAACUUAGCACAAAUGUCAACCACAUCAAGAUGAUGUGUUGUGUGUAAAACCCAUGUUCCUACCUCCAAGGUGAAGGUCACUCUAAUAGUUUGAAGGUACUUAAGGUCAUAAGAAGAGUUUGAAGGUACGCAUUAGUUUUCAAACUGUAAAGUUGUCAUGCAUUAGAGGAUUUUAAAAUAAAUGUCUAUCACAUCAAGAUGAUGUGUGCAUCCAAGACCCUUGUCCCAAGGUGUUAAGUUUGCUAUAAAUAGUACUUCAUUUCACAAGACCAAUGUUAAGCAAUUAGUUAUUUGCAUGGGGGUGUCCGUGGCCGAGUGGUUAAGGUCAUUGACUUCAAACCACUUGCCCCUCACUGCUGUGGGUUUGUUCAUACGUAUGAACAAAAACCUGAAAUUGAA
Molecule: long non-coding RNA, 3385 nt
Organism: Ruditapes philippinarum (Manila clam)
Lineage: Eukaryota; Metazoa; Mollusca; Bivalvia; Venerida; Veneridae
Exons: 2
Source: RefSeq, a predicted model, not a curated record